GAAUGUGUGUGUGAAUGGGUGGAUGACAGGUUGUGUAAAGUGCUUUGGGGUCCUUAGGGACUAGAAAAGCGCUAUACAAAUACAGGCCAUUUACCAUUUGCACAUUACAAUACAAACAUUUGUGCUUCUGAAACCUAACUCAGCUCUCAGAACAAGCUGUGUGUUUCUGGAUGUAAUGUUAUGUGCCAACUCUCCUGUCUAGCUGUUUGUCUUUACUGAUGGAGAGGUGUGGGACACCAAAAAAGUGAUAGAUCUGGUAAAGAAGAACUCAGAUUCUCACAGGUGUUUCUCUUUUGGGAUUGUGGAAGGGGCCAGUUCUGCUCUCAUCAAUGGGAUGGCCAACGAAGGAGGAGGUCACGCUCAGUUCAUCACAGGGACUGACAGGAUGCAACCAAAAGUGAUGCAGUCGCUGUGAUUUGCUCUGCACCCUAUUGUCACAGUCAUAUGGGAUUUACCAAAGGAAGGGUCUGUCACUGUCCUCUCUCCACCAAUCACAAUACUUUUCAAGGGUCAGAGGUCACUGAUUUAUGCCCAGCUUACUGGACAGAGCUCAGAGGCAGCAGAGGGCUGUGUGACGGUGAAGUACAGCCUGGCAGGUCAUCCCUCUGAGAACCAGCUGCACUUCAGUCUCAGACCUGCAGAGGACACUGGGUACGAGGAUGAACUACUCUGGUCUGUUAAAUCUCCAAAAGGAACCAGUUCCUCUGAAGAGCAUUGAGGUGGAGCUGCAGGUGAGGGACCAUGUGGCUACAGUGGUCUCCACCCUGAACUACGAGAAUAAGGAGGACAAACCAUCAGAGGCUGUUUUUGUCUUCCCUCUGCCUGGAGAUGCUGCUGUCUGUCAUUUCAGUGCUAAGAUCAGACAGACACAGAUUGUAGCUGAGGUGAAGGAGAAACAGAAGGUGAGCUGGACAGUAAAUAUAACCUGAUUAUAAGUAAGACAAUAAUAAUGGAUUGGAUUUAUAUAGCACUUUUCAAGGCACCCAAAGUACUUUACAAUGCCACUAUUCAUUCACUCUCGCAUUCACACACUGGUGGAGGCAAGCUACUGUUGUAGCCACAGCUGCCCUGGGGCAGACUGACAGAUUAAUCUGAAAAUAUUGUUAUAAUAUCUACAUAGCUAAGGAAGGCCUGGAAUGUACAGCCGCUAUAAAUUUUAUUUCACAGUCCUUAAAUGUUUCUGUUUCACAGAUACGAUGAUAAACCGCUGUGGAACCAGGUACUGAUGGAAAAUAAAGUCUUGUGUUUUCUCUGCAUUCUCUGCAUAUUUACUAAUUCCACACUUGCCCUGUGGACAGUCUUUAUCCUUCAACCUUGGGUCCUCUACCAGAGGCCU
Haplochromis burtoni (Burton's mouthbrooder) is the source of this 1336-nucleotide long non-coding RNA. RefSeq lists it as uncharacterized. The transcript has 6 exons. NCBI's taxonomy places the organism in Eukaryota, Metazoa, Chordata, Actinopteri, Cichliformes, Cichlidae. The record is from RefSeq and is a predicted model, not a curated record.